Molecule: small nuclear RNA, 124 nt
Filed under: Chlorocebus sabaeus (green monkey)
Lineage: Eukaryota; Metazoa; Chordata; Mammalia; Primates; Cercopithecidae
Description: U2 spliceosomal RNA
Rfam family: U2 spliceosomal RNA
About the family: U2 is a small nuclear RNA (snRNA) component of the spliceosome (involved in pre-mRNA splicing). Complementary binding between U2 snRNA (in an area lying towards the 5' end but 3' to hairpin I) and the branchpoint sequence (BPS) of the intron results the bulging out of an unpaired adenosine, on the BPS, which initiates a nucleophilic attack at the intronic 5' splice site, thus starting the first of two transesterification reactions that mediate splicing.
Source: Rfam by way of RNAcentral
ACUGCUUUUGGCCUUUUGGCUAAGAUCAAGUGUAGUAUCCGUUCACAUCAGUUUAAUAUAGGUGCUGAACAACAGUGGGAGAAAAAAUAACUUAAGUUCCUCUUUUAUUAUACUUGAAACAAAA